Molecule: unclassified non-coding RNA, 930 nt
Filed under: Leishmania donovani
Lineage: Eukaryota; Euglenozoa; Kinetoplastea; Trypanosomatida; Trypanosomatidae
Description: gene:unknown
Source: RNAcentral
GCCUUUUUCAGAAAAUGGUUUUCCCUUUUCUCUGUUGUCUUUUGCUUGUCGGUCAUUUUUGUGUGUGUGUGUGUGUGUGUGUGUCUUUUAUAUAAGCGUGCUCUCCUCUGACUCUUGGGCGCUCGUGCCUCUCUGUGUGCCUUUCUUUCUUGUUGCUCGUGAGACUCGUUGCGCCCCUCUCGCUCGCGCUCUGUGCAAUGCGGAGGCGUGUAUGUGCGUCGCCCCUUCGCUUUGCCAAGAAAGCGCCCAUCAGGGUGAUAUCGCUGCUACGCUAGUUGCGCGCACUGAUUUUAUGGGCGGUGAUGGGCAGGAGGCGCCGUGUCUGUUGCUCUCGAAGCCUUCUCCUCGCCUCCUACAUGGCGAACAAAAGUGUCCAGAGUCUGAGAAAGGCCGAAGAAAGCGUCGAUGAACGCUUGUGGGUGGUGCUGAUUGGUGGUGAGGUGAGCCAUGAUUGGUGGGGGAGGGGGCUGAGGUUGGGUGAGCCCACGGUCAGCGCCGUGCCGUUGCCACCCGCCCCUCUACCUGCCAUGCCGAUACGUUUUGUCUUGUGUGUCUGCUGCAGGACACCGACUCCUCGCUUCCUUAUUUUUUAAGCCGUGCUCCAUGUGCGUGUGUGUGUGUGUUGCUGGGGAGUUUCUGCGAGUGUGAUUACUGGCCCCUCUGAUUUCUAUCUCUUUCUUUACUUCGCUGUGUACGAGAACAGACGGCCACAACAUGGGCGAACGUCACGUGUCUGCGAGGGAAAGGGGCAUCAUGAACCGCUGCCAGCCAUUGGAGACGGAGGAGCCGAGAAGGAGAGUGCACGCGAGAGGAUAGAGGCUACCCGCUCUGAUGGGCACAGCCGCACUCUAACAUACACCCUUGUUGCAGCUCUCGUGACGAAGAAGGUAGCAACACAGGGACUGGCACGCCCAAACUGCACACAUCGCU